GGAUCAGCACGCCGCGGUGAAUACGUUCCCGGGCCUUGUACACACCGCCCGUCACACCACGAGAGUUUGUAACACCCGAAGUCGGUGAGGUAACCUUUUGGAGCCAGCCGCCUAAGGUGGGAUAGAUGAUUGGGGUGAAGUCGUAACAAGGUAGCCGUAUCGGAAGGUGCGGCUGGAUCACCUCCUUU
RNAcentral lists this ribosomal RNA (188 nucleotides) under Streptococcus sp. Its description in RNAcentral is "partial 16S ribosomal RNA". It matches the Rfam family "Bacterial small subunit ribosomal RNA", at positions 1346 to 1533 of the family's 1533-position model. Lineage: Bacteria; Bacillati; Bacillota; Bacilli; Lactobacillales; Streptococcaceae. The record is from RNAcentral. RNAcentral also lists the same sequence under 1 other name.